Molecule: small nuclear RNA, 67 nt
Filed under: Saimiriine gammaherpesvirus 2 (Herpesvirus saimiri)
Lineage: Duplodnaviria; Heunggongvirae; Peploviricota; Herviviricetes; Herpesvirales; Orthoherpesviridae
Description: HSUR3 small nuclear RNA
Source: RNAcentral
ACACACCCUAAAGAUAAUUUUUGAAGGCUCUGAGUAUUUAGGUCCAAACCAGUGCCCCAUUUCUAAG